RNAcentral lists this transfer RNA (86 nucleotides) under Sinirhodobacter sp. HNIBRBA609. RNAcentral describes it as "tRNA-Leu". It matches the Rfam family "tRNA". Rfam says of the family: Transfer RNA (tRNA) molecules are approximately 80 nucleotides in length. Their secondary structure includes four short double-helical elements and three loops (D, anti-codon, and T loops). The record is from RNAcentral. Lineage: Bacteria; Pseudomonadati; Pseudomonadota; Alphaproteobacteria; Rhodobacterales.
GCCCGAGUGGCGGAAUGGUAGACGCAGGGGAUUCAAAAUCCUCCGGUAGCAAUACUGUGCGAGUUCGAGUCUCGCCUCGGGCACCA